RNAcentral lists this ribosomal RNA (440 nucleotides) under uncultured bacterium. RNAcentral describes it as "partial 16S ribosomal RNA". It matches the Rfam family "Bacterial small subunit ribosomal RNA", at positions 338 to 795 of the family's 1533-position model. The record is from RNAcentral.
CCUACGGGAGGCAGCAGUGGGGAAUAUUGCACAAUGGGGGGAACCUUGAUGCAGCAACGCCGCGUGGGUGAAGAAGUACUCCGGUAUGUAAAGCCCUGUCAGCAGGGAAGAAAAUGACGGUACCUGACCAAGAAGCCCCGGCUCACUGCGUGCCAGCAGCCGCGGUGAUACGUAGGGGGCAAGCGUUAUGCGGAUUUACUGGGUGUAAAGGGAGCGUAGGCGGCAAGGCAAGUCUGGAGUGAAAGCCCGUGGCCCAAACACGGGACUGCUUUGGAAACUGGGUUGCUGGAGUGGAGGAGGGGUAAGCGGAAUGCGUGGUGUAGCGGGGAAAUGCGUAGAUAUUAGGAAGAACACCGAUGGCGAAGGCGGCAUACUGGACUGUAACUGACGUUGAGGCACGAAGGCGUGGGGAGCGAACAGGAUUAGAUACCCGAGUAGUC